GGUUAAGCGAACAAGCGUACACGGUGGAUGCCCUGGCAGUCAGAGGCGAUGAAGGACGUGCUAAUCUGCGAAAAGCGCCGGUAAGGUGAUAUGAACCGUUAUAGCCGGCGAUGUCCGAAUGGGGAAACCCAGUGUGAUUCGUCACACUAUCUCAGCAUGAAUACAUAGUGCUGUGAGGCGAACCGGGGGAACUGAAACAUCUAAGUACCCCGAGGAAAAGAAAUCAACCGAGAUUCCCCCAGUAGCGGCGAGCGAACGGGGAACAGCCCAGAGCCUGAAUCAGCUUGUGUGUCAGUGGAACGGUCUGGAAAGGCCGGCGAUACAGGGUGACAGCCCCGUACACGAAGGCACACAGGCUGUGAGCUCGAUGAGUAGGGCGGGACACGUGAUAUCCUGUCUGAAGAUGGGGGGACCAUCCUCCAAGGCUAAAUACUCCUGACUGACCGAUAGUGAACCAGUACCGUGAGGGAAAGGCGAAAAGAACCCCGGCGAGGGGAGUGAAACAGAACCUGAAACCGUGUACGUACAAGCAGUGGGAGCCUUCGUAAGAGGGUGACUGCGUACCUUUUGUAUAAUGGGUCAGCGACUUAUAUUCUGUAGCAAGGUUAACCGCAUAGGGGAGCCGAAGGGAAACCGAGUCUUAAUUGGGCGUUAAGUUGCAGGGUAUAGACCCGAAACCCGGUGAUCUAGCCAUGGGCAGGUUGAAGGUUGGGUAACACUAACUGGAGGACCGAACCGACUAAUGUUGAAAAAUUAGCGGAUGACCUGUGGCUGGGGGUGAAAGGCCAAUCAAACCGGGAGAUAGCUGGUUCUCCCCGAAAGCUAUUUAGGUAGCGCCUCGUGAACUCAUCUUCGGGGGUAGAGCACUGUUUCGGCUAGGGGGCCAUCCCGGCUUACCAACCCGAUGCAAACUACGAAUACCGAAGAAUGUUAUCACGGGAGACACACGGCGGGUGCUAACGUCCGUCGUGAAGAGGGAAACAACCCAGACCGCCAGCUAAGGUCCCAAAGUCAUGGUUAAGUGGGAAACGAUGUGGGAAGGCACAGACAGCCAGGAUGUUGGCUUAGAAGCAGCCAUCAUUUAAAGAAAGCGUAAUAGCUCACUGGUCGAGUCGGCCUGCGCGGAAGAUGUAACGGGGCUAAACCAUGCACCGAAGCUGCGGCAGCGACACUAUGUGUUGUUGGGUAGGGGAGCGUUCUGUAAGCCUGCGAAGGUGUGCUGUGAGGCAUGCUGGAGGUAUCAGAAGUGCGAAUGCUGACAUAAGUAACGAUAAAGCGGGUGAAAAGCCCGCUCGCCGGAAGACCAAGGGUUCCUGUCCAACGUUAAUCGGGGCAGGGUGAGUCGACCCCUAAGGCGAGGCCGAAAGGCGUAGUCGAUGGGAAACAGGUUAAUAUUCCUGUACUUGGUGUUACUGCGAAGGGGGGACGGAGAAGGCUAUGUUGGCCGGGCGACGGUUGUCCCGGUUUAAGCGUGUAGGUGUGUGUUCCAGGUAAAUCCGGUUCACUUUAACACUGAGGCGUGAUGACGAGGCACUACGGUGCUGAAGUAACAAAUGCCCUGCUUCCAGGAAAAGCCUCUAAGCAUCAGGUAACACGAAAUCGUACCCCAAACCGACACAGGUGGUCAGGUAGAGAAUACCAAGGCGCUUGAGAGAACUCGGGUGAAGGAACUAGGCAAAAUGGUGCCGUAACUUCGGGAGAAGGCACGCUGACAUGUAGGUGAAGCCCCUGCGGGUGGAGCUGAAGUCAGUCGAAGAUACCAGCUGGCUGCAACUGUUUAUUAAAAACACAGCACUGUGCAAACACGAAAGUGGACGUAUACGGUGUGACGCCUGCCCGGUGCCGGAAGGUUAAUUGAUGGGGUUAUCGCAAGAGAAGCUCCUGAUCGAAGCCCCGGUAAACGGCGGCCGUAACUAUAACGGUCCUAAGGUAGCGAAAUUCCUUGUCGGGUAAGUUCCGACCUGCACGAAUGGCGUAAUGAUGGCCAGGCUGUCUCCACCCGAGACUCAGUGAAAUUGAACUCGCUGUGAAGAUGCAGUGUACCCGCGGCAAGACGGAAAGACCCCGUGAACCUUUACUACAGCUUGACACUGAACAUUGAGCCUUGAUGUGUAGGAUAGGUGGGAGGCUUUGAAGCGUGGACGCCAGUCUGCGUGGAGCCAACCUUGAAAUACCACCCUUUAAUGUUUGAUGUUCUAACCUGGCGCCAUAAUCUGGCGUGGGGACAGUGUCUGGUGGGUAGUUUGACUGGGGCGGUCUCCUCCCAAAGUGUAACGGAGGAGCACGAAGGUCAGCUAAUCCUGGUCGGACAUCAGGAGGUUAGUGCAAUGGCAUAAGCUGGCUUGACUGCGAGAGUGACGGCUCGAGCAGGUGCGAAAGCAGGUCAUAGUGAUCCGGUGGUUCUGUAUGGAAGGGCCAUCGCUCAACGGAUAAAAGGUACUCCGGGGAUAACAGGCUGAUACCGCCCAAGAGUUCAUAUCGACGGCGGUGUUUGGCACCUCGAUGUCGGCUCAUCACAUCCUGGGGCUGAAGUAGGUCCCAAGGGUAUGGCUGUUCGCCAUUUAAAGUGGUACGCGAGCUGGGUUUAGAACGUCGUGAGACAGUUCGGUCCCUAUCUGCCGUGGGCGCUGGAGAAUUGAGGGGGGCUGCUCCCAGUACGAGAGGACCGGAGUGGACGCAUCACUGGUGUUCGGGUUGUCAUGCCAAUGGCACUGCCCGGUAGCUAAAUGCGGAAGAGAUAAGUGCUGAAAGCAUCUAAGCACGAAACUUGCCCCGAGAUGAGUUCUCCCUGAGACUAUAAGUCUCCUGAAGGAACGUUGAAGACGACGACGUUGAUAGGCCGGGUGUGUAAGCGCAGCGAUGCGUUGAGCUAACCGGUACUAAUGAACCGUGAGGCUUAACCUUACAACGCCAAAGAAGUCUGG
Molecule: ribosomal RNA, 2924 nt
Filed under: Cronobacter dublinensis 1210
Lineage: Bacteria; Pseudomonadati; Pseudomonadota; Gammaproteobacteria; Enterobacterales; Enterobacteriaceae
Description: LSU rRNA
Rfam family: Bacterial large subunit ribosomal RNA
Source: RNAcentral